GAGUUUGAUCGUGGCUCAGGAUGAACGCUGGCGGCGUGCUUAACACAUGCAAGUCGAACGAAGCGCCUUAUUUGAUUUUCUUCGGAACUGAAGAUUUGGUGACUGAGUGGCGGACGGGUGAGUAACGCGUGGGUAACCUGCCCUGUACAGGGGGAUAACAAUCAGAAAUGACUGCUAAUACCGCAUAAGACCACAGCACCGCAUGGUGCAGGGGUAAAAACUCCGGUGGUACAGGAUGGACCCGCGUCUGAUUAGCUGGUUGGUGAGGUAACGGCUCACCAAGGCGACGAUCAGUAGCCGGCGUUGAGAGAGUGAACGGCCACAUUGGGACUGAGACACGGCCCGAAACUCCUACGGGAGGCGAGCAGUGGGGAAUAUUGCACAAUGGGGGAAACCCUGAUGCAGCAACGCCGCGUGAGUG
Molecule: ribosomal RNA, 421 nt
Filed under: uncultured microorganism
Description: bacterial SSU rRNA
Rfam family: Bacterial small subunit ribosomal RNA
Source: RNAcentral